Molecule: ribosomal RNA, 1272 nt
Filed under: uncultured bacterium
Lineage: Bacteria
Description: bacterial SSU rRNA
Rfam family: Bacterial small subunit ribosomal RNA
Source: RNAcentral
CAAGUCGAACGGUGAUGGCCAGCUUGCUGGUCUGAUCAGUGGCGAACGGGUGAGUAACACGUGAGCAACCUGCCCUAGACUCUGGAAUAACCAUGGGAAACGAUGGCUAAUACCGGAUACGAGACGCACACGCAUGUGUGGCGUCUGGAAAGAUUCAUCGGUCUGGGAUGGGCUCGCGGCCUAUCAGCUUGUUGGUGGGGUAGUGGCCUACCAAGGCGACGACGGGUAGCCGGCCUGAGAGGGCGACCGGCCACACUGGGACUGAGAUACGGCCCAGACUCCUACGGGAGGCAGCAGUGGGGAAUAUUGCACAAUGGGCGCAAGCCUGAUGCAGCGACGCCGCGUGAGGGAUGACGGCCUUCGGGUUGUAAACCUCUUUCAGCAGGGAAGAAGCGAAAGUGACGGUACCUGCAGAAGAAGCGCCGGCUAACUACGUGCCAGCAGCCGCGGUAAUACGUAGGGCGCAAGCGUUGUCCGGAAUUAUUGGGCGUAAAGAGCUCGUAGGCGGUUUGUCGCGUCUGCUGUGAAAACCUAAGGCUCAACCUUGGGCUUGCAGUGGGUACGGGCAGACUAGAGUGCGGUAGGGGUGACUGGAAUUCCUGGUGUAGCGGUGGAAUGCGCAGAUAUCAGGAGGAACACCGAUGGCGAAGGCAGGUCACUGGGCCGCAACUGACGCUGAGGAGCGAAAGCAUGGGGAGCGAACAGGAUUAGAUACCCUGGUAGUCCAUGCCGUAAACGUUGGGCACUAGGUGUGGGGCUCAUUCCACGAGUUCCGUGCCGCAGCAAACGCAUUAAGUGCCCCGCCUGGGGAGUACGGCCGCAAGGCUAAGACUCAAAGAAAUUGACGGGGGCCCGCACAAGCGGCGGAGCAUGCGGAUUAAUUCGAUGCAACGCGAAGAACCUUACCAAGGCUUGACAUACACCGGAAACUUCCAGAGAUGGUUGCCCCGCAAGGUCGGUGUACAGGUGGUGCAUGGGUUGUCGUCAGCUCGUGUCGUGAGAUGUUGGGUUAAGUCCCGCAACGAGCGCAACCCUCGUCCCAUGUUGCCAGCGGGUUAUGCCGGGGACUCAUGGGAGACUGCCGGGGUCAACUCGGAGGAAGGUGGGGAUGACGUCAAAUCAUCAUGCCCCUUAUGUCUUGGGCUUCACGCAUGCUACAAUGGCUGGUACAAAGGGCUGCGAUACCGCGAGGUGGAGCGAAUCCCAAAAAGCCGGUCUCAGUUCGGAUUGGGGUCUGCAACUCGACCCCAUGAAGUCGGAGUCGCUAGUAAU